AAUUUGGAGUUUUUAGAUCUUGAUGCUAAUUUUGGUAAAAGUAAGAUUGGAGAAGUCACAACUUUAAAUAGCAUUGAGCCCACUAUCUCGGAUUUCAAGGAAUUUGAUUAUGAUAAUUGUUCUUUAGAAGGUUGCAUUUUCUUGUUGCAAUCUGUUGUUAAUUCUCCACAUGCUUAUAGUCAAAAUAAAGCUUUUACCAAACAUAUUGUUGAUGCCUUGUUGCAAUCUUUUGAUGAAAAACUUAAUUUGGAAGUUUCUAUACCUAGAAAACUUAAUGAUGAGUGGGAAACUACUAUAAAGAUUAAAAUUAAAGAUUAUGAGUGUUUUGCUUUGUGUGAUUUGGGUGCUAGUGUUUCCACGAUUCCAAAAACUUAA
RNAcentral lists this ribosomal RNA (375 nucleotides) under Triticum aestivum (bread wheat). RNAcentral describes it as "partial small subunit ribosomal RNA". Lineage: Eukaryota; Viridiplantae; Streptophyta; Magnoliopsida; Poales; Poaceae. The record is from RNAcentral.